RNAcentral lists this ribosomal RNA (502 nucleotides) under uncultured bacterium. RNAcentral's name for it is "partial 16S ribosomal RNA". It matches the Rfam family "Bacterial small subunit ribosomal RNA", at positions 899 to 1397 of the family's 1533-position model. The record is from RNAcentral.
ACUCAAAUGAAUUGACGGGGACCCGCACAAGCGGUGGAGCAUGUGGUUUAAUUCGAGGCAACGCGAAGAACCUUACCAGCCCUUGACAUGGAUAGUUUGGUCGGCAGAGAUGCCUUCCUUCAGUUUGGCUGGCUAUCACACAGGUGCUGCAUGGCUGUCGUCAGCUCGUGUCGUGAGAUGUUGGGUUAAGUCCCGCAACGAGCGCAACCCUCACCCUCUGUUGCUAACAGGUUAUGCUGAGCACUCUGGGGGAACUGCCGGUGAUAAGCCGGAGGAAGGCGGGGAUGACGUCAAGUCUUCAUGGCCCUUAUGGGCUGGGCUACACACGUGCUACAAUGGCGGUGACAGAGGGUUGCUACUCCGCAAGGGGACGCUAAUCCUAAAAAACCGCCUCAGUUCGGAUUGCACUCUGCAACUCGAGUGCAUGAAGCUGGAAUCGCUAGUAAUCGCGGAUCAGCACGCCGCGGUGAAUACGUUCCCGGGUCUUGUACACACCGCCCGU